AUCGCUCUUGUGGUUAUGAUCGCUCAUGUG
This 30-nucleotide non-coding RNA is filed under the name Plasmodium falciparum 3D7. Lineage: Eukaryota; Apicomplexa; Aconoidasida; Haemosporida; Plasmodiidae. The record is from RNAcentral.